Long non-coding RNA from Ostrea edulis (European flat oyster), 310 nucleotides. RefSeq lists it as uncharacterized. The record is from RefSeq and is a predicted model, not a curated record. Lineage: Eukaryota; Metazoa; Mollusca; Bivalvia; Ostreida; Ostreidae. The transcript is spliced from 2 exons.
AUCCUGCAGGACUGAAGAGAUUGGUGAGUUUGCUGCGAUCUUUGAUUCUGCGACCCUCGUUAAAAGAGAUGGUUCCUUGUGGACUGACGGAGGAUGAGAGAGUCUGCGGAAUGGGUGUCAUGUCGUCGAUGGAGAGGUUGAUCCCUCGUCGACUCCGAAGACUUCCCACCUAUAGUACAACCUCCAAUUAGAAUACUGUACCACUCCCUCACUGGACUCGUGACUGCCAGCUAUACUUCUAUGUAGAGAACAAUAGGGCAGAUACUUGUGAAAAUUUACAAAACAUUUGUAAUAAAUUGUAAAAAAUUCA